GACUCUCGGCAAUGGAUAUCUUGGCUCUUGCAUCGAUGAAGAACGUAGCGAAAUGCAAUACUUGGUGUGAAUUGCAGAAUCCCGUGAACCAUCGAGUCUUUGAACGCAAGUUGCGCCCGAAGCCAUUAGGCCGAGGGCACGCCUGCCUGGGUGUUG
This 156-nucleotide ribosomal RNA is filed under the name Lupinus angustifolius (narrow-leaved blue lupine). RNAcentral's name for it is "rRNA 5_8S_rRNA". It matches the Rfam family "5.8S ribosomal RNA". From Rfam's summary of the family: 5.8S ribosomal RNA (5.8S rRNA) is a component of the large subunit of the eukaryotic ribosome. It is transcribed by RNA polymerase I as part of the 45S precursor that also contains 18S and 28S rRNA. Functionally, it is thought that 5.8S rRNA may be involved in ribosome translocation. Lineage: Eukaryota; Viridiplantae; Streptophyta; Magnoliopsida; Fabales; Fabaceae. The record is from RNAcentral.